This 1236-nucleotide ribosomal RNA is filed under the name metagenome. RNAcentral's name for it is "bacterial LSU rRNA". It matches the Rfam family "Bacterial large subunit ribosomal RNA", at positions 1564 to 2808 of the family's 2925-position model. The record is from RNAcentral.
UGAGUACGAGAUGCUACGGCAUCGAAGCAGUCUAUGUCAUACUUCCAAGAAAAGCUUGCAAUGUCAUAAACAAAUAAUGCCUGUACCAUAACCGACACAGGUGGGUAGGUAGAGUAUACUAAGGGGCGCGAGAUAACUCUCUCUAAGGAACUCGGCAAAAUGACUCCGUAACUUCGGGAGAAGGAGUGCCUUAUUUUUAUAAGGUUGCAAUAACAAGAUCCAAGCAACUGUUUACCAAAAACACAGGUCUCCGCUAAGUCGUAAGACGAUGUAUGGGGGCUGACGCCUGCCCAGUGCCAGAAGGUUAAAGAAGUUGGUUAGCAUUAGCGAAGCUGAUAACUGAAGCCCUGGUGAACGGCGGCCGUAACAAUAACGGUCCUAAGGUAGCGAAAUUCCUUGUCGGGUAAGUUCCGACCCGCACGAAAGGCGUAAUGAUUUGGAUACUGUCUCGGAGAGGGGCUCGGUGAAAUAGACUUGUCUGUGAAGAUGUGGACUACCUGCACCUGGACAGAAAGACCCUAUGAAGCUUUACUGUAACUUGAGAUUGAAAUUGGACUUUAUCUGCGCAGUAUAGGUGGGAGACGUUGAAAAUAUUCUUGCGGGAAUAUUGGAGUCAUCAGUGAGAUACCACUCUUAUAAUGUUAGAUUUCUAACUUUGUAUCAUUAUCUGGUCAAAGAACAGUUUCAGGCGGGCAGUUUGACUGGGGCGGUUGCCUCCCAAACGGUAACGGAGGCGCACAAAGGUUUCCUCUGAACGUGUAGAAAUCGUAUCUAGAGUGUAAAGGCAUAAGGAAGCUUGACUGUGAGACCUACAAGUCGAGCAGGGACGAAAGUCGGUCUUAGUGAUCUGACGGUGCUGAGUGGAAAGGCCGUCACUCAACGGAUAAAAGUUACUCUAAGGAUAACAGGCUGAUCUCCCCCAAGGUUCACAUCGACGGGGAGGUUUGGCACCUCGAUGUCGGCUCAUCGCAUCCUGGGGCGGUAGUACGUCCCAAGGGUUGGGCUGUUCGCCCAUGAAAGCGGUACGCGAGCUGGGUUCAGAACGUCGUGAGACAGUUCGGUCCAUAUCCGGUGUAGGCGUUAGAAUAUUGAGAGGAGCCUUCUUUAGUACGAGAGGACCGAGAAGGACAUACCUCUGGUGUACCAGUUAUCGUGCCAACGGUAAACGCUGGGUAGCCAUGUAUGGAGAGGAUAACCGCUGAAAGCAUCUAAGUGGGAAGCCCACCUCAAGAUAAG